This 466-nucleotide ribosomal RNA is filed under the name uncultured bacterium. RNAcentral's name for it is "partial 16S ribosomal RNA". It matches the Rfam family "Bacterial small subunit ribosomal RNA", at positions 28 to 507 of the family's 1533-position model. The record is from RNAcentral.
GACGAACGCUGGCGGCGCGCCUAACACAUGCAAGUCGAACGAGCGAGAGAGAGCUUGCUUUCUCGAGCGAGUGGCGAACGGGUGAGUAACGCGUGAGGAACCUGCCUCAAGGAGGGGGACAACAGUUGGAAACGACUGCUAAUACCGCAUAAGCCCACGGUGCCGCAUGGCACAGAGGGAAAAGGAGCAAUCCGCUUUGAGAUGGCCUCGCGUCCGAUUAGCUAGUUGGUGAGGUAAUGGCCCACCAAGGCGACGAUCGGUAGCCGGACUGAGAGGUUGAACGGCCACAUUGGGACUGAGACACGGCCCAGACUCCUACGGGAGGCAGCAGUGGGGAAUAUUGCACAAUGGGGGAAAACCUGAUGCAGCGACGCCGCGUGGAGGAAGAAGGUCUUCGGAUUGUAAACUCCUGUUGUUGGGGAAGAUAAUGACGGUACCCAACAAGGAAGUGACGGCUAACUACGUG